AGAGUUUAUCAUGGCUCAGAUUGAACGCUGGCGGCAUGCCUUACACAUGCAAGUCGAACGGCAGCACGGGAGCAAUCCUGGUGGCGAGUGGCGAACGGGUGAGUAAUGUAUCGGAACGUACCUUUCAGUGGGGGAUAACGUAGCGAAAGUUACGCUAAUACCGCAUAUUCUGUGAGCAGGAAAGCAGGGGAUCGCAAGACCUUGCGCUGAUUGAGCGGCCGAUAUCAGAUUAGCUAGUUGGUGAGGUAAAGGCUCACCAAGGCGACGAUCUGUAGCGGGUCUGAGAGGAUGAUCCGCCACACUGGAACUGAGACACGGUCCAGACUCCUACGGGAGGCAGCAGUGGGGAAUUUUGGACAAUGGGGGCAACCCUGAUCCAGCCAUGCCGCGUGAGUGAAGAAGGCCUUCGGGUUGUAAAGCUCUUUCAGCCGGGAAGAAAUCACAUGGGUUAAUACCCUGUGUGGAUGACGGUACCGGAAUAAGAAGCACCGGCUAACUACGUGCCAGCAGCCGCGGUAAUACGUAGGGUGCGAGCGUUAAUCGGAAUUACUGGGCGUAAAGCGUGCGCAGGCGGUUUGUUAAGAUAGGCGUGAAAUCCCCGGGCUCAACCUGGGAACUGCGUUUAUGACUGGCAGGCUAGAGUAUGGCAGAGGGGGGUGGAAUUCCACGUGUAGCAGUGAAAUGCGUAGAGAUGUGGAGGAACACCGAUGGCGAAGGCAGCCCCCUGGGCCAAUACUGACGCUCAUGCACGAAAGCGUGGGUAGCAAACAGGAUUAGAUACCCUGGUAGUCCACGCCCUAAACGAUGUCAACUAGGUGUUGGGUGGGUAAAACCAUUUAGUACCGGAGCUAACGCGUGAAGUUGACCGCCUGGGGAGUACGGCCGCAAGGUUAAAACUCAAAGGAAUUGACGGGGACCCGCACAAGCGGUGGAUGAUGUGGAUUAAUUCGAUGCAACGCGAAAAACCUUACCUACCCUUGACAUGUCCAGAAGCUCUUAGAGAUUUGAGUGUGCCCGAAAGGGAACUGGAACACAGGUGCUGCAUGGCUGUCGUCAGCUCGUGUCGUGAGAUGUUGGGUUAAGUCCCCGCAACGAGCGCAACCC
This 1104-nucleotide ribosomal RNA is filed under the name uncultured Ferribacterium sp. Its description in RNAcentral is "bacterial SSU rRNA". It matches the Rfam family "Bacterial small subunit ribosomal RNA", at positions 8 to 1104 of the family's 1533-position model. The record is from RNAcentral. Lineage: Bacteria; Pseudomonadati; Pseudomonadota; Betaproteobacteria; Rhodocyclales; Azonexaceae.